Molecule: long non-coding RNA, 3786 nt
Filed under: Daphnia pulicaria
Lineage: Eukaryota; Metazoa; Arthropoda; Branchiopoda; Diplostraca; Daphniidae
Description: uncharacterized LOC124351082, transcript variant X4
Source: RNAcentral
UGGAAAUGACGACCUUGAAUGCUGGAUGCUGGGACUAUUUAUACUGCGGAGCUUGUGGGUUUUUCCAUUGCGGACGAUUCCAGCAGCCACACCCCUUAUCGAAAAAUGAAACAAAUUCAAACAGGUCAUUGACAGGUUUCAUCCUUCGCCAAGGUUUUUCCUGUCUUCCAAAUCUAUGCGCAUUUGCCGCCCCGAUAUUUCUGCACGCGCCAACUUGUCGGAUGUGUCCUCGUCCGCUCCGGAGAUUCCCAUCAAAGAGUGCGCUAUUCACAGUUUCCUCCUCUUCCGCAGGAGCUGCAUCUUCCCCGCCGGAUGCGGCAGCUGCAGUUGUUGGAGCGGCCGUUGAAGCCACUGGCGCCGCUGAAGCGACCGAGGCGGACGCUGAAGGUGGGGGCUUAUUCCCUCCUCCUCCGGCUAUUCCGGAUGGAUUGGUGUUGUUAUUCUCCGCUAUAACAGGAAGAAUCCCCGGCGGAAAGAAACCUGGCCCUAUUCCCGGAUAGCCAGCACCAGGUAACAUUCCUGGAUAGUAAGGAUUAUUCAAACCAACACCGGGAUAGAAUCCUUGUCCGGAUCCAACACCGGGGUAGAAUCCCUGUCCCGGAAUCAUUCCUCCGCCACCUCCAAAUUGAGGAUGAGGUGGAUGAAACCCUCCUCCGCCUCCUGGUGGAAAUUGGGCUGGAUAUCCUGGUGGGAAAGCUCCUUGCUGGUACGGAUUUGACCCGAAUCCGCCGGCGUAAGUGAAUUAACUUGGACGAGGUACGAGCGAGAAGAGAAAACUGAUUUUGUUGUGCAGCAAAUUUUCUUUCGUCAGCUUCUUGGAACACUUCAAUGACUUGGGCUUCACCCUGGGCAUCGACGGAUAUCCCGCCGUAAGUCACCAGUGCCAACAGCAGCAGAAGAAACGCAAACACUCUAUUACUCAUCAUGUUGAGCGGAUCCGACGACUGGACUUUUGAUUCUGGUGUCCUUAUCGAUGACGAGUCGACUUUUUAUAGUAACCUGUGUGAUACCACUAUGGUACACGGUUCAUCGAUUCGACCCAAAUGAUCCUGAUGCAAAACACCAGCAUUUUCCAACCGAGUAGGAUUUUCAAUCAGCGAUGGACGGCGACGAGGAACUUGCACAGCGAUAAAUAAAGGCGAGAUGUGCAACACACGCAAGAGGUCACGGACGAGAGUUUCAAGCCGGAAAGGAGAAAUUCAUCGAGAAACUACGCCAAAAAUGAAAGCCAAUUCAGAGCAAACUGACUCUGCCGGUUGAAAUCUAUUUGCGGAAUCCUUCCGAACGUGGGAUCUGAGACCGGAGCAGCUUGGCAGACCGACGCCACGUGAGCAGAACUGCCAUGUCUGGCAGGGCACGACUAGCUGAUGGGAAAUGACGACCUUGCACAUGGAAUGACAUACCUUUUAUACUUUGAGGCUGUGGCAUCUUUCAUUCCAGAUAAUUCCUGGCUGUCACCAAGUGUCACACACCCCUUCGUAUACUAGAGGACACUUGCAGGUCGUUGACGGGAGUAUAUUCCUUGGAGGAUCAAAGUCUUGUCUAUCGCAGACCUUCCUCCCCUUUUCGUAUAAUCCGGUAGGGUUCAUCGUAUAAUAACCCCAUCCAGCUGACAAUCGGUUUCAGCAACAAUUCAUGCGUCAAGGUUUUUCCGGUUCCCAAAUAAUAAUUCGACGGAUUCCUGGCUUGUACGUAGAUUUUUUAUUAUUACAUAAAAAUAGAUAUUACAAUAACUAUGCGGUUUGUUAUAAGGUCGACGAACGACAGGUGAUUAUGAAAGAGAGGGGCGGAUAAUUCAUUUGAACUGGGAUAAAUUUUCAAAGUGCGACAAUGGGCACCGUGGCGAUGUGUGGCAAUCGACCAGAUUCAUUGUCACCGAAAACUCCGCCCGGAUUGGCCACUGACCAGUCUAAAGUUUGUUUUCGAACGGCCAUGAAUGGCAUCACACUCUUGUCCUUGGUGAUAUCGGUCACGAUAUCCUCCUGUCGUCCUUCCUGAAUGUUGGUAGGGUCCGAUUCCACUCGUUCCUGCCGAACAGAACAACAUGAAAAUUAUCUGUCAACUAUACUUUCCCUGCGCACGUUAAUAAUUUAUUAUUUUUACCUUCUCAGAAUCCUUGAUAGCGGCGGCGGCUUUAUGGAGCGACUGGAACACCAAGGUCAUGGACGGAGUCAGUUUACUCCUCAGAGACUCUUUGGUGAUGGCUGGACUGGCCAAUCCGUGGGCAGCCAGAAGGGCCAGCAAAAAGAAAGAUAUCGACAUUGUCUGCUCAAGGUUAGCAGUCAAGCCCCCAGAUGCGCACAACUAUUUGGCAUGUACGUGUGAGGACACGGAUUUUUAAAAACAAGGGCAGAAUCACGGCACUCCAUUCAAGUGAAAGUGCCUCUGGCCAAACAUUGCAAUUAACACGUGAACCAAAGAGGUAUAAAACGUGUUCCAUGCUAUCUUAUAAUGUUAACCAUGCGGUCAUCAAGGACGACAGCACAGUCUCUUUUGCACGCUAUUUGAACUUUUGAAAACGACAAACUUAAAAUCAAAUUAUUGGCGGAGAUUUACCUUGAGCAUCAUUUCGGAGUUGGUUUGUUUGUAGAAUCACGAAAUACGGACGGGAAAAACUGAUUGUAGAGAAACCGAUAAGAAUACGACCGACAGUUGUGAAGCCAAAGAAAGGUCUGAUCUCUCUUGCAGAAAUGCUUACGCUUUUUUACUAAAGGCCUCCUCAGUCCUCACCUUGACUUUUUUUUUUCUCUUUCUGGGUGGAACCAAAAAUAAAAACUUUUAUUUCCGGACUUGCUUUUGUCGGUAUUAUACUCUCACUUUUUCAGGGUAAUUUACUAAUUUUCCUUAUGAAUUGAAUUAGUCAUAUUUUUGUUUACAAAUUCAUAAUUAGUGUAACGAUUGUAUUUAUCCGCAAAAGGAGUUGGAAUUUGGAAAAAUUCUUAUUCUGUUUAUAAGUGACCUUGAAAGAAGUAGGCCAAGUUGAGGUUUGUUCGUUAUCCUAGUUAUUUCCUGUUGUGUUAUACAAGGUAAGUUCUGGACGUCUAGAAGUCGUAGAUUACGGUUGAGGGUUGUUCAAGUUUCGGUUGCGAAACGAUUGUUUCUUACUUAUUUAGUGAAAAUCAAUUUUACUGAAAAGUUAAAAGUCAUUGUGUUGUAUAACGCAAAAGUUGAGACAAAUUUGCCAGGGUCCUUUUGGGACCAUAUUAUUUCGAAUGACUUUUAACUUAACAGUUUGCUUACGUAAACUAAUGUGACUUCAUGCUUAUGUAAACAGGUUGUUUAUGUGAACCCUUUGCUAUUUAUUUAGGUCAAUCAUCACUUUGACUUCAUUUACAGCGGCUUAUACACCACUUGACGGACGUCCAGCAGCAAUUGCGGAAAAAAAGCAUAUCACUGUCAAUUAAUAAGAUGUACGUUCUAAGCAACUUGUUAUACACUUUUUCAGCGGAGAACUUAAAUUAUUAUUAUUCGACGGUGAGGAAAAUGGCCCUUCUAUUCCUUACUGGAACUUUCAUAAUUCUACUCUUGCUGUUGAUGGCAUGGCCUACGGUUGAAUCUGGAAGCUACGGGACCUGGGACAUUAAAAACUGCCUUACGGAUUCAUCCUACUCUGAUGAUAGAUGUCAAGGAUCGAACAUUUUCUACUCAACUGUUGAAAACUAAGGCCAGAAUUACAUAAUUAUCUUAUAUAACUUUAAUUUUCUUGUUUAUUCAACUUAUUAUUAUGAUGUAAUUGUUACAAGUAACAUUAAAAUCCGAGUAAAUUUUCAUUUUUAUUAAAUCAAA